GGGGCUGCCUGGGAAUGUUACAGCCGGCGGCAGAAGAUGCACCUGGUGUCCCUGAAGUUUGGCCAUUUCCAAUGCCAAUAACUAAUGAGUCAUCGGUUUUUCCCUAUUUGCUGCAGGUGCUGCCAUGGGACUCCUCACUAUUCCUGUGGAUAAAUGCAGGGUUAGCAAUAUCUCAAAUCCAUAACAGCUGAACUCCAGUUUUCAACAGCUUUCACCACAGCUGCAUCAGCUUACAGUUAUUAUCAUUAAAGGUCCUGACCCAGUGAUUGUUUGGAGUCCGGGGUAUGUUUGUUUGUUUCCACAGAGAGAACAGCAGCCAAUUUGGAUUCCAGAGAGACUAACUAAAUCGAUUUCUACAGACCAAAAAGAUCCUUACAUCUUCAAUAAUGGUUCUCCCACACCUGGAGGCUAAUGAAUAAUGAGCACCAUUAAGGCCUAUUUCAAAUGUAAAUUACUGAAAUCCAAAUGAGACUUCAGAAAUACAGCUAACAUCAUCACAGCUGUUGCUAUUUCUGCUGCUGCUACUACAGCUUCUGCGAUAGCUAUCACACAAACUGUACAAACUGUUGCAUUAAUAUUUACUUCAAGAAGAAAUAGACAUAUUAAUGAAUUCAUCUGCUUUAAGCUGCUUGUGGAACUUACCUGGACUGUGUAUCACUUAUAUGCAUUAUGAACUGAUACAACAAAUUGUAAUUAGUACAAGGGUAUCUUUGCUGAUGGUGUCAUCUGUGGUACAGUUUUUCCAGGGAUCUCUCACUUGGAGCAGUCAAUGGCUUGAUAUCAUAGCAUUUUGUAUCCUCCUCCUUUCUGCUUGUGGCAGGUUUUUUUGGUGUAUGUGUAAAAACCACUGUGGUCGUUAUCCACAAGUGUUGGGCUGGUAGUCAAAGACGGGUAAGAUUCAAUUACAAUGGUACCAACCUAAGACAGGAGGCUGACGAUUUGAGGUCAGACCAUCCAAUGAUGGGUAAGGACCAUAUGUAGUAUUGGACAACCUAAAACAGGAACAGUCCCUAAGCCACAUACUUGUUGUUUAAUUAAACAAAAGGAUGCCUAGCAGCUGGGAAGUUUUCUCUGCAAAGGCACACAAUGCCUAGCUGCUAGGAAAAUUUCUGUCCAAGUACAUGGAUGCCUAGCUUUUGUAGCAAUACCCUUAAUGAGGAGUUCUGUGCUAGAGUCUUAUCAGCCUAGACCUUGAUCUCAGGUACAAAGAAACUCUUGUUAGACAACCACAAUAUUUUACCAAGCUCUGCUGUGCCAGAAUCUGUCCACAGAACAGUAACAAUGGACUUUCUUGAGAGCUACACAAAGCUCCUAACAUUGCACAUUAAAACUACAGCAUGAAAUUGACUAAUAAGCUGCAUAAUGUUGCUAACUCUGUAACCUGCCUAGUGACACAUGGACAAUAAUGUACUACUGAUGCCAGGGACCCAAUGUAACCUAUUGAUAUAAAUAAAACUGGCAGCUUGGACAAG
This 1472-nucleotide long non-coding RNA is filed under the name Marmota monax (woodchuck). The record is from RNAcentral. Lineage: Eukaryota; Metazoa; Chordata; Mammalia; Rodentia; Sciuridae.